CGCACCUUGCGCUCCUUGGUAUUCCGAGGAGCAUGCCUGUUUGAGUAUCGUGAAAUUCUCAACUCCCCUGAUCUUUCUGUCGAAAGUUUCUAGUGGCGAGAUUGGACUUGGAGGCCGUGUUGGCUCAUCAGCAGAGUCGACUCCUCUCAAAUGCAUUAGCGUGAGUUUUUACGAAUCGCCUUCAGUGUGAUAAAUAUCUACGCUGUGGUGUUGAAGUAGUCAUGGUUCACGCUUAUAGCUGUCUCUUCGUGAGACAAUUAUUUGACCAUUUGAUCUCAAAUCAGGUAGGACUACCCGCUGAACUUAA
RNAcentral lists this unclassified non-coding RNA (307 nucleotides) under Basidiomycota sp. RNAcentral describes it as "partial contains 5.8S ribosomal RNA, internal transcribed spacer 2, and large subunit ribosomal RNA". The record is from RNAcentral. Lineage: Eukaryota; Fungi; Basidiomycota.